This 301-nucleotide ribosomal RNA is filed under the name uncultured bacterium. RNAcentral's name for it is "partial 16S ribosomal RNA". It matches the Rfam family "Bacterial small subunit ribosomal RNA", at positions 509 to 807 of the family's 1533-position model. The record is from RNAcentral.
CAGUCGCCGCGGUAAUACGAAGGGUGCAAGCGUUAAUCGGAAUUACUGGGCGUAAAGGGUGCGUAGGCGGUUAGUUAAGUCUGUCGUGAAAUCCCCGGGCUCAACCUGGGAAUGGCAGUGGAUACUGGCAAGCUAGAGUGUGUCAGAGGAUGGUGGAAUUCCCGGUGUAGCGGUGAAAUGCGUAGAGAUCGGGAGGAACAUCAGUGGCGAAGGCGGCCAUCUGGGACAACACUGACGCUGAGGCACGAAAGCGUGGGGAGCAAACAGGAUUAGAUACCCCCGUAGUCCCUGUCUCUUAUAC